This 372-nucleotide ribosomal RNA is filed under the name uncultured bacterium. Its description in RNAcentral is "bacterial SSU rRNA". It matches the Rfam family "Bacterial small subunit ribosomal RNA", at positions 527 to 896 of the family's 1533-position model. The record is from RNAcentral.
GUAGGGUCCAAGCGUUGUCCGGAUUUACUGGGCGUAAAGAGCGCGUAGGCGGUCUGUUAAGUGUAGAGUGAAAUCUCCAGGGCUCAACCCGGAAACUGCUCUGCAUACUGGCAGACUGGAGUGAUGCAGAGGUUUGUGGAAUUCCUGGUGUAACGGUGAAAUGUGUUGAUAUCAGGAGGAACACCCAUGGCGAAGGCAGCAAACUGGGCAUUAACUGACGCUGAGGCGCGAAAGCGUGGGUAGCAAACAGGAUUAGAUACCCUGGUAGUCCACGCCCUAAACGAUGGAUACUAGGCGUAAGAGGUAUCGACCCCUCUUGUGCCGCAGCUAACGCAUUAAGUAUCCCGCCUGGGGAGUACGGCCGCAAGGUUG